RNAcentral lists this ribosomal RNA (1482 nucleotides) under Lacticaseibacillus paracasei. Its description in RNAcentral is "bacterial SSU rRNA". It matches the Rfam family "Bacterial small subunit ribosomal RNA". The record is from RNAcentral. Lineage: Bacteria; Bacillati; Bacillota; Bacilli; Lactobacillales; Lactobacillaceae.
AAGGGCAUGCGGCGUGCUAUACAUGCAGUCGAACGAGUUCUCGUUGAUGAUCGGUGCUUGCACCGAGAUUCAACAUGGAACGAGUGGCGGACGGGUGAGUAACACGUGGGUAACCUGCCCUUAAGUGGGGGAUAACAUUUGGAAACAGAUGCUAAUACCGCAUAGAUCCAAGAACCGCAUGGUUCUUGGCUGAAAGAUGGCGUAAGCUAUCGCUUUUGGAUGGACCCGCGGCGUAUUAGCUAGUUGGUGAGGUAAUGGCUCACCAAGGCGAUGAUACGUAGCCGAACUGAGAGGUUGAUCGGCCACAUUGGGACUGAGACACGGCCCAAACUCCUACGGGAGGCAGCAGUAGGGAAUCUUCCACAAUGGACGCAAGUCUGAUGGAGCAACGCCGCGUGAGUGAAGAAGGCUUUCGGGUCGUAAAACUCUGUUGUUGGAGAAGAAUGGUCGGCAGAGUAACUGUUGUCGGCGUGACGGUAUCCAACCAGAAAGCCACGGCUAACUACGUGCCAGCAGCCGCGGUAAUACGUAGGUGGCAAGCGUUAUCCGGAUUUAUUGGGCGUAAAGCGAGCGCAGGCGGUUUUUUAAGUCUGAUGUGAAAGCCCUCGGCUUAACCGAGGAAGCGCAUCGGAAACUGGGAAACUUGAGUGCAGAAGAGGACAGUGGAACUCCAUGUGUAGCGGUGAAAUGCGUAGAUAUAUGGAAGAACACCAGUGGCGAAGGCGGCUGUCUGGUCUGUAACUGACGCUGAGGCUCGAAAGCAUGGGUAGCGAACAGGAUUAGAUACCCUGGUAGUCCAUGCCGUAAACGAUGAAUGCUAGGUGUUGGAGGGUUUCCGCCCUUCAGUGCCGCAGCUAACGCAUUAAGCAUUCCGCCUGGGGAGUACGACCGCAAGGUUGAAACUCAAAGGAAUUGACGGGGGCCCGCACAAGCGGUGGAGCAUGUGGUUUAAUUCGAAGCAACGCGAAGAACCUUACCAGGUCUUGACAUCUUUUGAUCACCUGAGAGAUCAGGUUUCCCCUUCGGGGGCAAAAUGACAGGUGGUGCAUGGUUGUCGUCAGCUCGUGUCGUGAGAUGUUGGGUUAAGUCCCGCAACGAGCGCAACCCUUAUGACUAGUUGCCAGCAUUUAGUUGGGCACUCUAGUAAGACUGCCGGUGACAAACCGGAGGAAGGUGGGGAUGACGUCAAAUCAUCAUGCCCCUUAUGACCUGGGCUACACACGUGCUACAAUGGAUGGUACAACGAGUUGCGAGACCGCGAGGUCAAGCUAAUCUCUUAAAGCCAUUCUCAGUUCGGACUGUAGGCUGCAACUCGCCUACACGAAGUCGGAAUCGCUAGUAAUCGCGGAUCAGCACGCCGCGGUGAAUACGUUCCCGGGCCUUGUACACACCGCCCGUCACACCAUGAGAGUUUGUAACACCCGAAGCCGGUGGCGUAACCCUUUUAGGGAGCGAGCCGUCUAAGGUGGACAAAAGAUUUGG